CAGCCGCCGCGGUAAUACGAAGGGUGCAAGCGUUAAUCGGAAUUACUGGGCGUAAAGCGUGCGUAGGUGGUGGUUUAAGUCCGUUGUGAAAGCCCUGGGCUCAACCUGGGAAUUGCAGUGGAUACUGGGUCACUAGAGUGUGGUAGAGGAUAGUGGAAUUUCCGGUGUAGCAGUGAAAUGCGUAGAGAUCGGAAGGAACAUCUGUGGCGAAGGCGACUAUCUGGGCCAACACUGACACUGAGGCACGAAAGCGUGGGGAGCAAACAGGAUUAGAUACCCCAGUAGUCCCUGUCUCUUAUAC
RNAcentral lists this ribosomal RNA (301 nucleotides) under uncultured bacterium. RNAcentral describes it as "partial 16S ribosomal RNA". It matches the Rfam family "Bacterial small subunit ribosomal RNA", at positions 509 to 807 of the family's 1533-position model. The record is from RNAcentral.